Molecule: ribosomal RNA, 253 nt
Filed under: uncultured bacterium
Lineage: Bacteria
Description: partial 16S ribosomal RNA
Rfam family: Bacterial small subunit ribosomal RNA
Source: RNAcentral
UACGGAGGGUGCAAGCGUUAUCCGGAUUUACUGGGUUUAAAGGGUGCGUAGGUGGGUUGGUAAGUCAGUGGUGAAAUACUUUCGCUUAACGAAGGAACUGCCAUUGAUACUAUCAAUCUUGAAUGUAGUGGAGGUAGGCGGAAUGCGUCAUGUAGCGGUGAAAUGUUUAGAUAUGACGCAGAACACCAAUUGCGAAGGCAGCUUGCUACACUACUAUUGACACUGAGGCACGAAAGCGUGGGGAUCAAACAGG